RNAcentral lists this ribosomal RNA (464 nucleotides) under uncultured bacterium. Its description in RNAcentral is "partial 16S ribosomal RNA". It matches the Rfam family "Bacterial small subunit ribosomal RNA", at positions 339 to 795 of the family's 1533-position model. The record is from RNAcentral.
CUACGGGGCGCAGCAGUUAGGGAUAUUCGGCAAUGGGGGAAACCCUGACCGAGCAAUGCCGCGUGAAUGAAGAAGUAUUUCGAUAUGUAAAGUUCUGUUGUUAAGGAAGAAAGGUACGAAUAGGAAAUGAUUCGUAAUUGACGGUACUUAACCAGAAAGCCCCUGCUAACUACGUGCCAGCAGCAGCGGUAAUACGUAGGGGGCGAGCGUUAUCCGGAAUUAUUGGGCGUAAAGGGUGCGUAGGCGGCCUGUCAAGUCCGAGUUGAAAGCCCACGGCUUAACCGUGGAGGGUGCUCGGAAACUGAUAGGCUUGAAUCCAGAAGAGGCAAGUGGAAUUCUAUGUGGAGCGGUGGAAUGCGUAGAUAUAUGGAGGAACACCAGUGGCGAAGGCGGCUUGCUGGGCUGGUAUUGACGCUGAUGCACGAAAGCGUGGGGAGCAAACAGGAUUAGAUACCCUAGUAGUC